GUCACAUCUUAAAGAAUCAGCUUUAAAGUGCCUUUCUGCAGCUUCCCAGGAGCACAAGACAGACU
Molecule: regulatory RNA element, 65 nt
Organism: Ovis aries (sheep)
Lineage: Eukaryota; Metazoa; Chordata; Mammalia; Artiodactyla; Bovidae
Source: Rfam